This 68-nucleotide small nuclear RNA is filed under the name Capra hircus (goat). The record is from RNAcentral. Lineage: Eukaryota; Metazoa; Chordata; Mammalia; Artiodactyla; Bovidae.
GUGCUCAUUUGGGCAGCCCAUAUACUAAAAUUGGAACGAUACAGAGAAGAUUAGCAUGGCCCCUGCGC